This 274-nucleotide ribosomal RNA is filed under the name uncultured bacterium. Its description in RNAcentral is "partial 16S ribosomal RNA". It matches the Rfam family "Bacterial small subunit ribosomal RNA", at positions 523 to 796 of the family's 1533-position model. The record is from RNAcentral.
AUACGGAGGGUCCGAGCGUUAUCCGGAAUCAUUGGGUUUAAAGGGUCCGUAGGCGGGAAUCUAAGUCAGUGGUGAAAUCUUGCAGCUCAACUGUAAAAUUGCCAUUGAUACUGGAUUUCUUGAAUUAGUGUGAAGUGAUUAGAAUGUGUAGUGUAGCGGUGAAAUGCAUAGAUAUUACACAGAAUACCAAUUGCGAAGGCAGAUCACUAACACUAUAUUGACGCUGAGGGACGAAAGCGUGGGGAGCGAACAGGAUUAGAAACCCCUGUAGUCC